GACGAACGCUGGCGGCGUGCCUAAUACAUGCAAGUCGAGCGGACCUCUUCGGAGGUCAGCGGCGGACGGGUGAGUAACACGUGGGCAACCUGCCUGUAAGACUGGGAUAACUCCGGGAAACCGGAGCUAAUACCGGAUACUAUGUCAAACCGCAUGGUUUGACAUUCAAAGACGGUUUCGGCUGUCACUUACAGAUGGGCCCGCGGCGCAUUAGCUAGUUGGUGAGGUAACGGCUAACCAAGGCGACGAGGCGUAGCCGACCUGAGAGGGUGACCGGCCACCCACGGACUGAGACACGGCCCAGACUCCUACGGGAGGCAGCAGUAGGGAAUCUUCCGCAAUGGACGAAAGUCUGACGGAGCAACGCCGCGUGAGUGAUGAAGGUUUUCGGAUCGUAAAACUCUGUUGUCAGGGAAGAACAAGUGCCGGAGUAACUGCCGGCGCCUUGACGGUACCUGACCAGAAAGCCACGGCUAACUACGUGCCAGCCGCCGCGGUAA
This 500-nucleotide ribosomal RNA is filed under the name uncultured bacterium. RNAcentral's name for it is "partial 16S ribosomal RNA". It matches the Rfam family "Bacterial small subunit ribosomal RNA", at positions 28 to 523 of the family's 1533-position model. The record is from RNAcentral.